CCUACGGGUGGCAGCAGUGAGGAAUAUUGGUCAAUGGACGAGAGUCUGAACCAGCCAAGUAGCGUGAAGGAUGACUGCCCUAUGGGUUGUAAACUUCUUUUAUAUGGGAAUAAAAUGUUCCACGUGUGGGAUUUUGUAUGUACCAUAUGAAUAAGGAUCGGCUAACUCCGUGCCAGCAGCCGCGGUAAUACGGAGGAUCCGAGCGUUAUCCGGAUUUAUUGGGUUUAAAGGGAGCGUAGGUGGAUUGUUAAGUCAGUUGUGAAAGUUUGCGGCUCAACCGUAAAAUUGCAGUUGAAACUGGCAGUCUUGAGUACAGUAGAGGUGGGCGGAAUUCGUGGUGUAGCGGUGAAAUGCUUAGAUAACACGAAGAACUCCGAUUGCGAAGGCAGUUCACUGGACUGCAACUGACACUGAGGCUCGAAAGUGUGGGUAUCAAACAGGAUUAGAUACCCUUGUAGUC
This 460-nucleotide ribosomal RNA is filed under the name uncultured bacterium. Its description in RNAcentral is "partial 16S ribosomal RNA". It matches the Rfam family "Bacterial small subunit ribosomal RNA", at positions 338 to 795 of the family's 1533-position model. The record is from RNAcentral.